CGUGUCCAUGCAGAAAGGGUUCGUUUCGCAACUCCGGAGGUUUUCUUUCUCCUUUUUUUCUUUCUUUCCUUUUUUUUUUUUUAAACUUAUUUUCCUUUACGUCCUGCAUCGCCCGUCUCAUUCCGGGAGAUCAAACUGACCGAAACCAGCUACCCAGCGCCUCGUCCUCACUGACAGUCGGGGGAAUCCAAACAAAGAGGAAUUUGCCAGAUCUUUCUUGUUAUGUGGUUGCUGAAGCAUUUUCCUGGCACAGCAGUGGUGAUUGA
This 266-nucleotide long non-coding RNA is filed under the name Cairina moschata (Muscovy duck). RNAcentral describes it as "domestica (muscovy Duck (domestic type)) lncRNA (ENSCMMG00000003556.1)". Lineage: Eukaryota; Metazoa; Chordata; Aves; Anseriformes; Anatidae. The record is from RNAcentral.